RNAcentral lists this ribosomal RNA (380 nucleotides) under uncultured bacterium. Its description in RNAcentral is "bacterial SSU rRNA". It matches the Rfam family "Bacterial small subunit ribosomal RNA", at positions 30 to 412 of the family's 1533-position model. The record is from RNAcentral.
AUUGAACGCUGGCGGCAUGCCUUACACAUGCAAGUCGAACGGCAGCACGGGAGCAAUCCUGGUGGCGAGUGGCGAACGGGUGAGUAAUAUAUCGGAACGUGCCCAGUCGUGGGGAUAACGUAGCGAAAGCUACGCUAAUACCGCAUACGAUCUAUGGAUGAAAGCGGGGGAUCGCAAGACCUCGCGCGAUUGGAGCGGCCGAUAUCAGAUUAGGUAGUUGGUGAGGUAAAGGCUCACCAAGCCGACGAUCUGUAGCUGGUCUGAGAGGACGACCAGCCACACUGGGACUGAGACACGGCCCAGACUCCUACGGGAGGCAGCAGUGGGAAUUUUGGACAAUGGGCGCAAGCCUGAUCCAGCAAUGCCGCGUGCAGGAUGAA